AAUAGCUCAAUCGGAUAGAGCAACGGCCUUCUAAGCCGUAGGUUGGGGGUUCGAGUCCCUUUU
Molecule: transfer RNA, 63 nt
Filed under: pig gut metagenome
Rfam family: tRNA
About the family: Transfer RNA (tRNA) molecules are approximately 80 nucleotides in length. Their secondary structure includes four short double-helical elements and three loops (D, anti-codon, and T loops).
Source: RNAcentral